RNAcentral lists this long non-coding RNA (13807 nucleotides) under Vitis vinifera (wine grape). Its description in RNAcentral is "long non-coding RNA (VVIN_LNC007519)". The record is from RNAcentral. Lineage: Eukaryota; Viridiplantae; Streptophyta; Magnoliopsida; Vitales; Vitaceae.
CUGUCCCAUUUUUCUGUUCUUGUGACUUCAAGUGUAAAGGUGUGAGAACCAAACAUUAGACCCAAGGCCUGGAUCCAUGCGUAAUCCCGGGUUCUUCCAGCAGGGCGGAGACCAAUGAAUCGGGAAUUGAUUUGGAGAUUGAUAUCUGAGACCAGGCUGAAAUGCUCAUCGCUCUUGCCAUGGAAGUAGAACACAAUGCCGUCACCACCUAUGAAACGAGGAUCAAAGCAAGCAGACCCCACACCAUUGCAAUUUGUUUUACGCCCUGUUUCAUCAAUAACAAUAUAUAUUACUUCUAUUUUCCUGAUUAUUCAAGACUUUGUCGUGGUUCAUGAUCUGGAAAAUAAUGUCACAGGAUGCUUCAAAUGACCCUCCCCAAUGGCUUAUAUAGGAGGAGAGAAGCUUCUGGAGACUCCUAGAGCCAUCUACACUAAGCCAUUGGUGGGAAGAGUGUGGAAGGUUCUAGAAAUGCCUAGAGAUGUCCACACAUCUCUACACUAUGGUAGAAGGCAUGAGAAGGGUCCAAAGCUUUCUAGAGAAAUCUAGAAGUCUCUUGAAUAUUCUAGAAUAGUGUAGGACAUUCUAGAAUAUUCAUGAAUUGUAAGGAACCCUCCAAGGUUCUAGAGAGUUCCAUUGGUGCCUAUAAAUAGGUGAGGGCCUCAUUUGGCCAAGGCACCAAGCAAGUGAGCAUCCAAGCACUUGUAAAGGUUUCCUUGAGUUAGUGAAAGCUUCCAUUCUUUCAAGAGUUGCCUACCAAGCUUCUUAAGCUUUUGAGUCACGAGUGUCUUAGCCGAGCAAGCUAAGCAUUGGGGAGCAAGGCUGACUUAGCAAGAUCAAGCGUCUUGGCUUGUCUAAGUGCCGCACGAGCUUAGUGAACGACUAAGUCCGUGACAAGUGGUAUCAGAGCGCGGUUACGAGGUGGGCAUAGCAAAGGAAGCAUGUCGGGCUCUAACGUGGAAGAGACUAGUGAGCAAACCCGCGGAAGGGAGACCGAGCCUACUGCACGGGGCAGGGGUAGGAAGGAUAAGUCUCGUGAUGCCGUUGCCAACAUGGAGGCAAGGUUAGCCAAGGUGGAGCUAGCCAUGGCGGACACUCGGGAGGGGUUGGACUUGAUCGAGCAAGGCAUGGAGAAGAGCUUAGAAGAUCUAAGGGAACAGAUCCAAGACCUUCGCGAGGGGGUGCUAGUCUCACAGGUUCAACCAGUGUCGCACGAGGAGUUUGUGUCCUUCCAAGGAAAGGUCUUGAGCAUGCUUGCUAGCAUGGAGUCAAGGAUAGAGGCCUUGGCUACUCGAAUGGAGUCCCGAGACUAGGAAGUUAGGCAGGAGUUGGCCAUCUACAAGGCUGUUGUGUCGGCACGGGUCAUGGCCACACAGGAGGCAUCUAGGGUGGAGGUGCCGAAGCCACAUAGGUUUAGUGGCAAUCGGGAUGCCAAGGAGUUGGAUAACUUCUUAUGGCAUAUGGAGCGAUACUUUGAGGCUAUCGCAUUGACGGAUGAGGCGGCUAAGGUGAGAACUGCGACCCUCUACCUUACUGACACAGCUACUCUAUGGUGGCGUCGAAGGUUUGCCGAUAUGGAGAAAGGCAUUUGCACCAUAGAGACGUGGGAGGACUUCAAGAGGGAGAUCAAGAGGCAGUUCUACCCCGAGGACAUGGCUUACCUGGCUAGGAAAAACAUGAGGCGUCUCAAGCACACAGGUCCGAUACGUGACUAUGUCAAGGAAUUCUCUUCGCUCAUGCUUGAGAUUCCUAACAUGACUCAGGAGGAGUUGCUAUUCAACUUCAUGGAUAACCUGCAAGGGUGGGCCGAGCAGGAAUUAAGGCGCCGAGGCGUUCAAGACUUAGCCACUGUUAUGGCAAUAGCAGAAUCUUUAACAGAUUAUAAAAGGGGAGACUCCUUCAAGGAUGAGUCUUUGGAGGAUAGCCACGCCAUGGGUGGGGGAGACGAGGUUCCAAGGGACCACAAUGCUCCUAAAAAGGGAUCAGGCAAGACGUAUACCGUCCGAGAAGGAAGGGAUAAGGCGGAAAGGAAGGAGUUUACGCCUAAAAUCAAAUGCUUCCUAUGUGACGGUCCACAUUGGGCACGGGAUUGUCCAAAGAGGAAGGCGCUCAGUGCCAUGAUCGAGGAGAUGGAGCAGGAGGACGAAGCACAUAUGGGCUCAAUGCAGCUACUAGGUGCCUUCCAAUUCAACCCGAAAGCUAGUACGCCUGAGACCUCCUUACUAGCAGGGGUGCAAGUAAAGGAGGAAAAAGGGAAGCGAGCUGAGGUAGCCCGCACACACAUGGAAGAGGUCACCAAGGGAAAGGUGAACUCAAUGGGUAAGAGGAAGCAGCACUCUAAGCAUCGAAAGCGCACGGGUCUGCAUCCAUCUGGAGCCUCACGGGAGAAGGAGGUGAAGAAUAUCCUGGCUGAACGGGUCACCAGGAGACAAGGGGUCCCUCCUGUGAUAGAGUAUCUAGUCCGAUGGAAAGGACUACCUAAGAGGCAGGUAAGUUGGGAACAUGCGGAUGCCUUAAGAAAAUUCUGGAAACACAUCGAGAGGUUUCAGAAUGAGGCAACGACGAGGACGUCGACGGCAUCGGUGGGGGAGAGUGUCACAGGAUGCUUCAAAUGACCCUCCCCAAGGGCUUAUAUAGGAGGAGAGAAGCUUCUGGAGACUCCUAGAGACAUCUACACUAAGCCAUUGGUGGGAAGAGUGUGGAAGGUUCUAAAAAUGCCUAGAGAUGUCCACACAUCUCUACACUAUGGUAGAAGGCAUGAGAAGGGUCCAAAGCUUUCUAGAGAAAUCUAGAAGUCUCUUGAAUAUUCUAGAAUAGUGUAGGACAUUCUAGAAUAUUCAUGAAUUGUAAGGAACCCUCCAAGGUUCUAGAGAGUUCCAUUGGUGCCUAUAAAUAGGUGAGGGCCUCAUUUGGCCAAGGCACCAAGCAAGUGAGCAUCCAAGCACUUGUAAAGGUUUCCUUGAGUUAGUGAAAGCUUCCAUUCUUUCAAGAGUUGCCUACCAAGCUUCUUAAGCUUUUGAGUCGCGAGUGUCUUAGCCGAGCAAGCUAAGCAUUGGGGAGCAAGGCUGACUUAGCAAGAUCAAGCGUCUUGGCUUGUCUAAGUGCCGCACGAGCUUAGUGAACGACUAAGUUCGUGACAAUAAGCUGUAGAUCUACUAAAAUAACAGUGACAUUUAUGAACUAAUUAAACGUCAGUUAUGAAUUCAUACCUCUGCAAACAGCCUCACAUGUGAGGGAGUAACAAUCAAGAAAGCAUCCUUUGGAUUUCCCAUCUGCAGGUUGGACCUUAGGACACUCCACCGGGCAUGUCGCAUACUUCAAAAAGCAUUUGCUACAGCGGUUGGAGCAUGUCACACGCUCUGGUUUGACAGGUCAUGUUGGCUUGGCAUGCGGUGGUGGUUUGACAGGUGCCAUGUUGGCACGGCAUGCAAUGGUAGUUUGACAGGUGCUGUUGGUUUGUGGAUUUUUGGUAAAUGUAUGGACUUUUUAAAAAUUAUUUUCUAAAAUAAUGUAGAUUGGAAAAUAAUUCCAAGCACUUUUGCCGGGAGAAGUGAAAAGAAAAUAUAUUAUAUUUUAACUUUUAUAUCGGAACCUACUUCCAUUUUUUUUUAAUUUGAUUUUAUAUUAAAUGUGUUUUUUCAAGAGAUAUUUUCAUAAUUUUUAAAUAUACAAUAUACACUUAAAAGAAUUAAAUUUAAAUUAAAGGGAUCUUUUUAAGAGACAAUUUCUAUAAUUUAAAAAAUUGAAUUUAUAAUAAAAGGUGUCUCUUGAAAAGAUAAUUUGCAUAAUUCCAUAAAAUUUAAUAUAUAUUUAAGGUGUCUCUUGAAAGGAUAUCUUUCACAAUUUUAUAAAUUUUAAUUUAUACUAUAAGUGUCUUCCGAAUUUGAUUUUAUAUAAAAAGUGUCUCUUUGAAGGUACACCUUUCAUAAUUUCAAAAAAAUCUAAUAUAUACUAAAGGUGUCUCUACACCUUCCACAAUUUCAUAAAUUUUAAUUUAUAUUAUAAUUGUUUCUUAAUUUUGAUUUUAUAUUGAAGGUAAACACUUUUUACAAUUCCAAAAAAAAUUGAAUUUAUACUAAAAGGUGUCUCUUAAAGAGACACCUUCUACAAUUCCACAAAAUCUAAUAUAUAUUAAAGGUAUUUCUUCAAAAGACAUCUUCUAUAUAAAAUCAAAUUUAAGAAACACUUGUAGUAUAAAUUAAAAUUUAUGAAAUUAUAGAAGGUGUCUCUUGAAGGGACACUUUUAGUAUAUAUUGGAUUUUACGAAAUUAUGAAAAAUGUCUUUUCAAAAGAUAUUUUUAAUAUAAAUCCAAUAUUUUGGAAUUAUAGAAAAUGCCUACUAAAUAGACAUUUUUAGUUUAAAUUCAAUUCUUCUAAGCGAAUAUCAUAUAUUUAAAAAUGAUGAAAGAUGUUUCUUCAAAAACAUUUUUCAUGUGGUGAAAAUUACGUAAAUCUAUCAAUAAUUUUUCAAUUGCCAUUUUUAAAGAAUUAUUUUAUAAAGUUGUCGUAUAAGUUUAAAAACCCCCCCUUGGUUUGUCACUAGCCGCAAGUGUUUCCAUCACCACAAUGACACACAUAAAAGCAGAAUGAUGACCAUAGAUUGAAAGCAUGAUGCCCUCAUUCCCCCCCUAAUUGGCGAAAAAGAAAACUCAGAACAGUUAAGAAAGAAAUGCAAUUGAUAUGAAUUUGAUCCAUACUCUUGAUGCUUAUACAGGAUUUAGAAAAUGGAUUAAUGCUAAAUGUGGAGAACCGACUUUCUUUGAAUCCGCCGGAAAAGGAGUGGGAAACUGGCAAACAUAUUAACCAAGAUGGGCUGCGUUUGGUUUUUAAAACACUCUCUUGACCCGGUGGUAAGUAGCCAAACAUUUGCCUGAAAUUAAAGCAAAACUUGAGGGCUUCCUGUGAAGUCUUUGUUGCCUGGUCGUAGGCCCGCAGUCGGCGGUGACUAUUAAUGAACUAUGCCUCUCGCUUUUCAACCUUUGUUAGAAUAAUUUGUAUAUAUAUCCUAAUUUAUGUGUAAUUAUCAUAUUUAGACACAUUCCCACUACAUAUUGUCUUUGCUUUUGACAUUGAAUAAUGUGGUCUCACAAUCAAACAUCGACUCGGAAGUAAGCGUUCAGCCGUUCAGUGAAGGGGUAGGGCAUGGUUUGACAAAAUUUCUAAAUGCCCAUUAAUCUUUGGUCAAUUGGUCAAAUCAAUUAACCUCGUACUGCACCCACUACUAAAAGACAUAUAGGUUUGCAUUCAGUCAAAUAAGAAAAUGUAAAUUAGUAAAGUAUAUUUCUCUUUAAUUAAUCUUAACCAAGAAGUUAAAAGCCUCCAAAACUUAAUAAAAAGAAAAUUAAUUAUCCUAUAAUCAAGGCCCAUGGCUACUUACAUGUCAAAAGCAAAUUAUUUUGGUUAAAGAUUUAAAGAUUGUGUUGCCUAUAAUAUAUAUAUUUUUUUCAUAUUUAGAUCGGUCAUAAUUGAUAAACAAACUAAAUUUUCCAAAUAAUGAAAAUUUUUAUUUAAUUAUUUCUUAUCUCUAUAAUCAAUAAUAAAGUAUACACUAACUACACUACUAUCAUCGAUGUGCUUCCGUUCAUAUCAUAUCAUUUCAAUAGAAAUAAGUUAACAUGGAAGAAAUCCAAACAGCUUUGGCUUUAACAACAUCAAGGGGAUGAUAUUAGGAUUAAGGGGAGAAAAUGAAUAAGGUGUCUCUUUUAACAAAUCUUUAUAACCCAUGAUACUCAACGGAUGAUAUGUUAGGCCAUCUUAUAUUAAUUCACACCAUUAAAUUUUUUUUAGAUGAUAUUUCAUAUUUUGUUUAUGGGUUCCUAUAGACAUGGAGGAGAUAACAAAGGUAAAUAAGUCGUCCCAUGUGUUUGAUCGAAUCUUGGAAUGAGAUGCUGCAAGAGGAUUUUACUAUCUUUCACCUAGAAAUACAAUUGAUUCUGGUAGGAAAAUCAACUACCCACAUGCCUGGACUAAACUUCGAAUAAUCCAAGCUUAUUGUCUCUAAAGAGAGACCAUCACAAACCUUACUAAACCCUUAUUUGACACAGCAGUUUUACUGUGAAAAAUUUACCUUCAAAAGGACUCCAUAAAUACUAUAGUACGUACUUCAAACAAACAUCACAUAAGAGAAGAACCGAAGGCAUGCAGGUGUUCAUUUCCUGCACACUAUUCCAUUGCCGCUGCCAACCCCACCAGUGCAGUCAAGUGUGGCAUAUUCCAUUGAUAGUAAGCCCUCUCCUGUCACGUUGUUGCUGGGAGAGAACAGGCAUGACUUACAGUCUGCCGAGAGAAUAGAACUAGUCCUGUACUUGUCCGCCCCACCAACAAUAGGCAUUGCAACACCCGCUUUUGCUGUAUUGUGGAAGUUAGGUUGGUAAGUCUGCCCAAGAACUCCCUCUACUUGAGCUGACAGAUUAAAGAACCUGAAUUGUGCUUCCAAGUGGGCGAAACUGUCGUUGGAAGGUAUCUGGUAAUUGUGGAUUCUGUUAUCUUCCUCCGUCACUGGAAUCACAUUAACUAAUAUCUCUACAGCUUCUGAGAGGGUGACUGUGGCGCUGUUCUUGCUUGCAAUUCUCUCCACUUUGAGAUUAUUUUCUGGAGAUGUCCAUUCCGAGUAGAGCCCUUCUGGAAUGGACAAAGCUUCUCCAUCAUAAGAGAACUGCAAGUGAUCUUCCUUGCCGUCCCAUUUUUCAGUUCUUGUGGCUUCAAGUGUAAAGGUGUGAGAGCCAAACAUGAGACCCAAGGCCUGGAUCCAUGUAUAGUCUCGGGUUCGUCCAGCAGGGCGGAGACCAAUGAAUCGGGAAUUGAUUUGGAGGUUGAUAUCAGAGACCAAGCUGAAAUGCUCAUUGCUCCUGCCAUGGAAGUAGAACAUGAUCCCGUCUCCACCUAUGAAACGAGGAUCAAAGCAGGCAGCUCCCACGCCAUUGCAAUUUGGUUUACGCCCUGUUUCAUCAAUAAUAAUACAGAUUACUUCCAUUUUCCUGAUAAUUCAAGACAGUCAUUGUAAACAGUUACUAAAAUUUGCAAGCAUAAUUCAUACCUCUGCAAACAGCCUCACAUUUGGGGGAGUAACAAUCAAGAAAGCAUCCCUUAGAUUUCCCAUCUUUCGGUUGGACCUUGGGACACUCAACUGGACAGGUUACAUAUUUCAAAAAGCAUUUGCUACCACGGUUGUAGCAUGUCACACGCUGUGGCUUGACAGGCGGUUGUGGUUUGCCUCCAGGACCUCUUGGUUUGCCUCCAGGACCUCUUGGUUUGCCUCCAGGACCUCUUGGUUUGCCUCCUGGACCUGAUGGUUUUCCUCCUGGACCUGUUGGUUUGCCUCCUGGACCUGUUGGUUUGCCUCCUGGACCUGUUGGUUUGCCUCCUGGACCUGUUGGUUUGCCUCCUGGACCUGUUUUGGCAGUACCUGCCCCUGCUUCCAUCACCCCCAAUGAGACACAUAAUAGGAGAACUAUCACCACGGAUUGAAUGCUUGAUGCCUUCAUUUUUUCCCCCCUCUAAUAGCAAAAAAGUAGACUCAAAACAUGCAGUUCAUACGAGAAAUGGAAUUUGAUAUGAAGUUAAUCCAUAGUCUUGCUGCUUAUAUAGGAUAUAGAAAGUGGAAUGAUGCUAAAUUUUGAGAAUUGGUUUGCUUAGAAUCCACAGAAAAAGGAGUGGGAAACUAACGAACAUAUUAAUUAAGAUGGGCUGAGUUUGGUUUCUGAAGACUUGCACAGUUCCACUCGGACUGUGGUAGUGGUGGUGGUGGUAAGCGGCCAAACAAUUGGCUGAAAAUAAAGUUGAAUCAAAACUUGAAGGCAUGUAUUGAAGUCUGUGUUGUCUGGUCACUGAUCCGCAGCUGGGUGUGGACUAGUGACUGCUGAGUAGUAUUGUUCUAUUAAACAAGAAUUUAGAUCUAAAUUUCUACCAUCAUGAGAAUAAACCAUGACUUCAACCAACCAAACAAUGACUUCGAUAAUAGAUAUAUUUAUUGUCUCUUAAAACACAAUCAAAGAUUAGUUCUUUUUAACAUUUUUUUUUCUGUUAUAAUAAGCUAGUAUGUUAAAAUAUAUUAAAAAACAAAAUAUAAAAAUAAUCUUAAUAAAUAAAUUAUUUAAAUUUUAGUAAACUAGCAAAAAAAACAAGUAACCAAAUAAAUCAAUUAUUUAAAAAAUUUUGUGAAAAGAGUAAUAUAUAUAUAUUAAAUAAUAAAAAGAAAUAUGGAAGAUUAUUUUAAACAAAAUUUGAGCACGCCGAGAUGCAUCCAGAGUCGGGGUAUGGACUAAUAUGAAUUAACAUUCUAAUAUGUCUGCGGUGGGCCAUAUACUUCUUUAAGCUUUUCGAUCAACCUUUGAUAGAAUUACAGUGUAUAUCCGAACUCGACGUCGGCUUCGCUUUUGACGUGGGAUAACGUGAUCUUCCAAUGAAAUAUUGACUUUGAGGUUGGUAUGCUUGGUUUGACGUACAACUUGCUAUGGUGCGAGUGCAACUACCAAAUUCUUGUCAGAUGAUCAAAUUAAUUAAGCUCGUGUUACCAUUAAAAAGACAUUACCAUGUGAAGCCAAUAAUGACUCUGGAGUACCAAAUGUUAGGUGUUUCAACAAGAAGUUAAAACUCAAAAGCAUCCACAUGGGCAUGAUCCAAUGGUUGAACUAUUUAUUGGAACGCACCAUAACAUUAAGGUUAUGUUUGGUUCUCGGAAAAUACUAAGGAAAGAAAAAAAAAUGUAAAGGAAAAUGAUUUUUUCAUAUUUGGUUGUCAUAUGAAAAAUAUAAAAUAAAAUCAAAUAUAAUUAAAACUAAUUAAAAGCUUAUAUAUUUUUAAAUUAUUUAAUAUUUAUAUUAAUGAGUUAAAAUAAAUAAAAUGAGUUUGAAGUAACAAAAAAAAUAAUUUAUCAAUUUUUAAUCUAUUUUUUUAUUUUCCUUCACUUUUUUUUUUCCUUCUACUUUUCCUUUAUAUUUUCUUUCCCUUGCAUUUUCCUUCAAAUUUUCUGGGAACCAAACAUAGCCUAAGGAUUUAGGGAUUUACGGUUAAAAACAAUAUGUAAGUACGAAUCCGAGUUACUUGGGAAAUGUUUUUAGUUCAAAACUUGUUUUUGAAAAAAAAAAAUGGAGCCAAUUUGGUAACUAUUGUCGAAAAUAAUUUUUUGUUCUCCACAAAAAAUUGUAUACUCUUUUAGUUUUUUUAUUUUAUUUUUACUUGUUUUCUAAAAGUUAUUUUAAAAAAUAAUUAUAUAAACAUGUAGAAUGAUUAAAAAUAAAAUACUAAAUAUAAAAAUUAUUUUUAAAACAUAUUUAAAAAUUUUACAAACAAGUUAAAAAAAAUUAAACUUCCAAACAAAUUUUUAUUCUAUAAAACAUCACAUAACAAUUUUUCAAAAACUGUUUUUCAAAAUUAUUUUAAAAAAUAGUUACCAAACGUCUUUAGAUGUUUGAUAAAAUUUAAAAAAAACUUCAAAAUAUAUGAAAAAUCACUUAUGGUAUUGAAGAAUCAAUUAUAAUAUUUAUAAAAGAAAUAUUUUAAUGGAUGAUUUUCUAAAAAACAUUUUUAUUAAAAACGAAUAAAAAUAUUACCAAAAGCAUUUUAGUUCAUUAUUCUUAAAGUUCAUUGCAAUCUUAAAGAGUCUAGCUACAAUAGCAGGAUUUUCUCCUCCGCCACUUAAUUUUUUUCACAAUUGAUUUAUUUUAAAAUUUAUUAGGAAACCUUCCAAACCUUUUUUAUAGUAUGUAUUUCGCCUUUCAAAAAAUUUUAGAAGUUUUAGAGCUAAUUUGGGAUAAAUUAAAAGUCCAAUGGUAGACUUUUAUAAUAUUAUACACUGUCUUGGGUCUACAUGCAUGCAUGCACCCUUGUGUGCCUUACCAAAUCAAUCCUUCUUUAGCAUCAAGACCUUUCAUCAUAUGUUACAGGGUUUCGUGACCUUCUCAACCAAGGUUCAUGCAUAUCCCAAUGCCAACAUGCAGCUCAUGCACCAAGUUACCAAUAUCCCUUAUUGUCUUCGCCACACAACUCACAUCCAAUAUUUGUCAUGCUCCGCUCCUAGCUCCGUGCAUGCACUCCUAGGUCUGACCCAAGCUAUUGCACACUUAAGUGUGUGUAAACCCUAAUGGUGUACCUACCCAUACUAGGCCAUAGUCAUUGCAGCAACUCUGAUACCAUGUUUGAUUGAUGAACCAUGAUAAAAAUUGUAGAGGGUUUUCUAUGUAUGAGUUUCAACAAUUCUAUUGACUUCUAAUCUACUCGAUUUUUAUACAUAGAUAGAUAUGGAUGAAACUAGAGAAUUCUGAAAGCAUAGAGAACUUUUCAUAAUAGAAAGUUGUUAGCUCUACUAACUAAUUACAGAGUUUGCUAAAACUAAUUAACAACUUGUUUUAAGUUUGACAGUAGCCGCAAGUGUUUCCAUCAACCCUAUGAGACACAUAAUAGCAUAACGAUGACCAUAGAUUGAAAGCAAGAUGCCUUCAUUUCCCCCCUAAUUGGCGAAAAAGAAAACUCAGAACAGUUAAUAAAGAAAUGCAAUUGAUAUGAAUUUGAUCCAUACUCUUGAUGCUUAUACAGGAUUUAGAAAGUGGAUUAAUGCUAAAAGUGGAGAACCGGCUUUCUUUGAGUCCGCCGGAAAAGGAGUGGGAAACUAACAAACAUAUAAACUAAGAUGGGCUGAGUCUGGUUUUGAAGACACUCUCUUGACCUGGUGGUAAGUAGCCAACAUUUGUUUGAGGGCUUCCUGUGGAGUCUUUGUUGCCUGGUCGUAGGUCCGCAGCCGGGCGAUGACUAUUAAUGAACUACGACUCUCGCUUUUCAACCUUUGUUAGAAUAAUUUGUAUGUAUAUCCUAAUUUAUGUGUAAUUAUCAUAUUUAGACACAUUCCCACUACAUAUUUAGACACAUGCCCACUACUUAUUGCCUUUGCUUUUGACAUGGAUUAAUAAUGUGAUCUCAUCCAUAAUCAAACAGGGACUUGAAAGUAAACAAGCGUUCAGAGAAGAGGUAGGGCUUAGUUUGACAAAAUUUCUAAAUGCCUAAUAAUCUUUGUCGACUGAUCAAAUUAACCUCGCACUGCAGCCACUACUAAAAGAAAUAUAGGUGUGGAUUUAGUCAAACAACUAAAUGAAAAUUAAUUUAGUAUAUUUCUCUUUAACUAAUCCUUACCACUAAGUUAAAAGCCUCCAAAACUUAAUAAAUGGUGGCUACUUGUGGCCCCACUAGAAAAGGUUAAAAAGCAAAUUAUUUUCACAAAAAAUUAUUAUUUGUUUGCAAGUUAGAAUUUAAAAAUAAAUGAUAUAGUUAAUUUUGGUUAAAUAUUUAAAGAUUUUGUUGUCUCUUUUUUUUUUUUUUCAUAUCUAGAUCAGUCAUUAUGGAUAAAUAAAUAAAAAUAAUAGGCUUUCCAAAUAACGAAAAAAAAUUAUUUAAUGAUAUAAUUUAAAAGGUUUAUUAUCUUUAUAAUCACCUAAUCUAAUGACAAAGUAUACAAUAACUUGACACACAGUAAUGAUGGUCCUCCAUCCAUAUCAUAUCAUUUCAUCGAAAUUUGUUAACAUAUCGGUUGACUUUAUACAAGAAUUUCUGAACAAUCCUUACUUUUAAUAUCAAUAUAUUGUCCAUGUUUAAUUCCUAAAAAGUUUGAAAAAAAAUACAAGAAAAAGAAAAUAAAGAGAAAAAAUAUGAGAGAAAAAGCUAAGGAAAAUAAAUAAAUAAAUUUAAAAUCCAUUUCAAACUCGUUUGUUUGAAUUUUUCAAUAUAAAGAUUAAAUAACUUAAAACUUAAUGAGUUUCUAAUUAGUUUUAAUUAUAUUUGAUUUUCUUUUAUUUUUUUCAUAAUACAACCAAACAUAAAAAAAAUUAUUUUCUUUAAUAAAUUUUUUCUUUUCAUAGUACUUUCCAAGAAUCAAACAUAACCCUUAGGAUGACAAGGAGAACCGAAGAAGAUAUAUUUUUUUAACAAAUCUUUAUAUCCCAUAAUAUGUUAGGCCACCUUUAUCCUAAUUCAUGACUAUAAAAAGAAAAAAAAAUUCCUUUUUUACAACAUUUAUUGGUUAUUUACAUGGUACUCAUAUUUUGAUCAGAGUUUCUAUAAGCAUGAAGGAGAAAACAAAGGUAAAUAAAUAAAAUUUCUAAUAAAUUUGGCUAUUAAAAAUAUGAUAGAAUAUUUCUUAAUUGAUGACAACAAGACUUGAGAAUAGUUGAAGGAAAAAAAAUUAUUAAGGACAAGUACAAGUUCUUAUACUAAAGAUUUUAUAGUAAAAUUUGUCAACUCGGUAUAAAUUAUAGGCUACUUAUGAAAGAGCUUAAACCUUUUUUUAGUUAAAUUAGUGGUUGAAAAUGUAAAAACCUUUUACUUUUUCUAUUGAAAGGCAAGAUUUUUUCCUCCCUUGAGGGGGUGGCUUUCCCCCUUUUUAUAGUUAUUUUUGUUAUUGCUAUGGGCUUUUUCUCUACCCUAGGCUUGCUCUUAGUUUUUUUGUCAAUCAUGCUACGUUGCUUUUGGGCCAAGUUAUUAGAUCAGGUAGGUUAUAUUGAUUGGUGGGAGGGUGGUGCAUCUGAUUGCCCAAGGUGAAGGUCGUCUGAUUUUAUGCAUCUCUAGCUAGUGGCGUAUCAUAAUAUUUCUAUAUGAUGGUUUUUUUUCUCUCUAGGUACAAGUAUGAGGCUUGAUUAAGCCCUAAUAUUAAUAGGAAAGGUUAUGAGAUGCGACCUCAUGAUGAUGCUAAAUAUAAUAUAAUUAAUCAUGUUAAUUCUAGAAUAAGAAAUUAGUGGAGUACUUUCCAUUUAAGGCACAAAAAGAGAUAGCCAUGUAGGUGAAAUAAGUUGUCCCUUGUGUUUGAUUGAAUCUUGGAAUGAGACGCUGCAAGAGGAUUUUACAAUUGAUUCUGGUAGGAAAAUUAACCGACCAGAUACUUGGACUAAACUUCGAAUAAUCCAAGCUUAUUGUCCUUAAAGAGAGACCAUCACAAACCUCACUAAACCCUUAUUUGACACAGCGGUUUUACUGUGAAAAAUUUACCUUCAAAAGGGCUCCAUAAAUACUAUAUAUAUAGUACGUACUUCAAACAAACAUCACAUAAAGGAAGAACCGAAGGCAUGCAGGUGUUCAUUUCCUGCACACUAUUCCAUUGCCGCUGCCAACCCCACCGGUGCAGUCAAGUGUGGCAUAUUCCAUUGAUAGUAAGCCCUCUCCUGUCACGUUGUUGCUGGGAGAGAACAGGCAUGACUUACAGUCUGCCGAGAGAAGAGAACUAGUCCUGUACUUGUCCGCCCCACCAACAAUAGGCAUUGCAACACCCGCUUUUGCUGUAUUGUGGAAGUUAGGUUGGUAAGUCUGCCCAAGAACUCCCUCUACUUGAGCUGACAGAUUAAAGAACCUGAAUUGUACUUCCAAGUGGGCGAAACUGUCGUUGGAAGGUAUCUGGUAAUUGUGGAUUCUGUUAUCUUCCUCCGUCACUGGAAUCACAUUAACUGAUAUCUCUACAGCUUCGGAGAGGGUGACUAUGGCGCUGUUCUUGCUUGCAAUUCUCUCCACUUUGAGAUUAUUUUCUGGAGAGGUCCAUUCCGAGUAGAGCCUUUCGGGAAUGGACAAAGCUUCUCCAUCAUAAGAGAACUGCAAGUGAUCCUCCUCGUUGUCCCAUUUUUCAGUUCUUGUGGCUUCAAGGGUAAAGGUGUGAGAGCCAAACAUGAGACCCAAGGCCUGGAUCCAUGUAUAGUCCCGGGUUCUUACAGCAGGGCGGAGACCAGUGAACCGGGAAUUGAUUUGGAGAUUGAUAUCAGAGACCAGGCUGAAAUGCUCAUUGCCCUUGCCAUGGAAGUAGAACACAAUGCCAUCUCCACCUAUGAAGCGAGGGUCAAAG